This is a long non-coding RNA of Lutra lutra (Eurasian river otter), 482 nucleotides long. RefSeq lists it as uncharacterized. The transcript has 3 exons. Lineage: Eukaryota; Metazoa; Chordata; Mammalia; Carnivora; Mustelidae. The record is from RefSeq and is a predicted model, not a curated record.
UGUCUGCAGUUUCUUCUGCUAGUUUCAUUUGGAGAUUUCAAGAUGGUGUAUAUCUCCUUAAUUGUUUCUUGACAGACAAGUUAAGAAUACCGCAGCAGGCUCUGGUCUCCCAGAACAGGCAAAAAUGGUCCUGUAGGCAUUCGUAAUUUAUAGCAUCCUGCAACUCUGAAGAUCUUCAAUACCAACAUCUCAUUCCAAGGUUGCAACAAAACCAUUAUCAACAUGUAAAACAAAGAAGAUGUGGCCCUCCUUCUUCUGGGGCUUGCAAAGCUCCCUUGAGGCUCUUCGUGUGGCUUAUAAAAUAAUUCUUCCAAUGGUAUAAGAUUCAAGCAAAAAUGUGACAUGAGAUUUGCUUGCCUAACCUGACCCUGGAAUGUAGACCCUACAUCACUAGUGACAGUUCAGCGCUGGAAGGAGAUCUGUAUCAGCCACAUCUUUUGCACCACUUGGCAUCCUUUGACCUCCUGUUUCUGGAUCCUUUG